GCACUCGCUUUGGCAGCACACAUACUAAAAUUGGAAGGAUAUGGAGAUGAUUAGCGUGGCCCCAGUGUAAAAAUGACAUGCAAAUUUAUGAACCAUUUCAUAUUUUU
This is a small nuclear RNA of Cricetulus griseus (Chinese hamster), 107 nucleotides long. NCBI's taxonomy places the organism in Eukaryota, Metazoa, Chordata, Mammalia, Rodentia, Cricetidae. The record is from Ensembl.